AUUUUAGGUGUCAACUGGAUUCAUGAACAGACAACUGGAAAAACCUUACUUCUGGCUGUAUCAGUGAGGGCUUCCAGAGAAGACUGGUGUGUGACUCAGUGGACUGAGUGAGGAAGAUUCACCUUCAAUGUAGCCUAUCUAUAAGAAGCAGCACAGCCUCGGUUACUUUUAGAGGAAAUUAUCAAAAUAUCAUCUGCACAGAAGCAAAAGAAGGAAGGAAAAGAGUUUUAAUAACAAAGUUUUAUCCGUGAGGU
Molecule: long non-coding RNA, 254 nt
Organism: Gorilla gorilla gorilla (western lowland gorilla)
Lineage: Eukaryota; Metazoa; Chordata; Mammalia; Primates; Hominidae
Exons: 2
Source: RefSeq, a predicted model, not a curated record